UGGGGAAUAUUGCACAAUGGGCGCAAGCCUGAUGCAGCCAUGCCGCGUGUGUGAAGAAGGCCUUCGGGUUGUAAAGCACUUUCAGCGGGGAGGAAGGCGUUAAGGUUAAUAACCUUGGCGAUUGACGUUACCCGCAGAAGAAGCACCGGCUAACUCCGUGCCAGCAGCCGCGGUAAUACGGAGGGUGCAAGCGUUAAUCGGAAUUACUGGGCGUAAAGCGCACGCAGGCGGUCUGUCAAGUCGGAUGUGAAAUCCCCGGGCUCAACCUGGGAACUGCAUUCGAAACUGGCAGGCUAGAGUCUUGUAGAGGGGGGUAGAAUUCCAGGUGUAGCGGUGAAAUGCGUAGAGAUCUGGAGGAAUACCGGUGGCGAAGGCGGCCCCCUGGACAAAGACUGACGCUCAGGUGUGAAAGCGUGGGGAGCAAACAG
This 428-nucleotide ribosomal RNA is filed under the name Chloroflexota bacterium. RNAcentral's name for it is "Chloroflexi bacterium partial 16S ribosomal RNA". It matches the Rfam family "Bacterial small subunit ribosomal RNA", at positions 355 to 775 of the family's 1533-position model. Lineage: Bacteria; Bacillati; Chloroflexota. The record is from RNAcentral.